UACGGAGGGUGCGAGCGUUAAUCGGAAUUACUGGGCGUAAAGGGUGCGUAGGUGGUUUGAUAAGUUAGCUGUGAAAGUCCUGGGCUUAACCUAGGGAGGUCAGCUAAGACUGUUAGACUUGAGUCUAGGAGAGGGUAGUGGAAUUUCCGGUGUAGCGGUGAAAUGCGUAGAGAUCGGAAGGAACACCAGUGGCGAAGGCGGCUACCUGGCCUAAGACUGACACUGAGGCACGAAAGCGUGGGGAGCGAACAGG
RNAcentral lists this ribosomal RNA (253 nucleotides) under uncultured bacterium. Its description in RNAcentral is "partial 16S ribosomal RNA". It matches the Rfam family "Bacterial small subunit ribosomal RNA", at positions 524 to 776 of the family's 1533-position model. The record is from RNAcentral.